This 270-nucleotide non-coding RNA is filed under the name Enterococcus hirae. RNAcentral's name for it is "T-box sequence". It matches the Rfam family "T-box leader". From Rfam's summary of the family: Uncharged tRNA acts as the effector for transcription antitermination of genes in the T-box leader family. Lineage: Bacteria; Bacillati; Bacillota; Bacilli; Lactobacillales; Enterococcaceae. The record is from RNAcentral.
AAUAAAGCUUUGAAAAGAAGAGUACAUGUCACAGACGUUCAAAGAGAGCCCUGAUUGCUGAAAAAGGGUAACGGAAAUGAGAUGGAAGAUGGUCUUAGAGCAGAGUAGGUGAGCCUUGCAAACUUACUACGGGGGUGCCCGUUACAGCACAACGGUAUACGGGCAGGAUUAUGAUGAAAGAACGAUGACCCAAGUACUGGUAAAGGUUGUUAUUGUGAGAUAGCAGCAAAUCAAGGUGGUAACACGGAAGUUUCAGCUUUCGUCCUUUUG